This 254-nucleotide ribosomal RNA is filed under the name uncultured bacterium. Its description in RNAcentral is "partial 16S ribosomal RNA". It matches the Rfam family "Bacterial small subunit ribosomal RNA", at positions 524 to 776 of the family's 1533-position model. The record is from RNAcentral.
GCCGUAGGGAGCAAGCGUUGUCCGGAUUUACUGGGCGUAAAGAGCGCGUAGGCGGUCUGUUAAGUGUAGAGUGAAAUCUCCAGGGCUCAACCCGGAAACUGCUCUGCAUACUGGCAGACUUGAGGGACUGAGAGGUGAAUGGAAUUCCUGGUGUAGCGGUGAAAUGCGUAGAUAUCAGGAGGAACACCCAUGGCGAAGGCAGUUCACUGGCAGUCUCCUGACGCUGAGGCGCGAAAGCGUGGGUAGCAAACAGG